This 373-nucleotide ribosomal RNA is filed under the name uncultured bacterium. RNAcentral describes it as "bacterial SSU rRNA". It matches the Rfam family "Bacterial small subunit ribosomal RNA", at positions 525 to 896 of the family's 1533-position model. The record is from RNAcentral.
ACAGAGGGGGCAAGCGUUAUUCGGAAUUAUUGGGCGUAAAGGGCGCGUAGGCGGCCCUUCAAGUGGUAGGUGAAAUCCCUCGGCUCAACCGAGGAGCUGCCCGCCAAACUGAAGAGCUUGAGUCCGGGAGAGGUGAGUGGAAUUCCCAGUGUAGCGGUGAAAUGCGUAGAUAUUGGGAGGAACACCAGUGGCGAAGGCGGCUCACUGGACCGGAACUGACGCUGAGGCGCGAAAGCGUGGGGAGCAAACGGGAUUAGAUACCCCGGUAGUCCACGCUGUAAACGAUGAGUGCUUGGUGUAGCGGGUAUCGACCCCUGCUGUGCCGAAGCUAACGCAUUAAGCACUCCGCCUGGGGAGUACGGUCGCAAGGCUG